GUGAGCAAAGUUUAAGACAUUC
RNAcentral lists this microRNA (22 nucleotides) under Schmidtea mediterranea. RNAcentral's name for it is "sme-miR-87d-3p". Its record names the gene sme-miR-87d-3p. Lineage: Eukaryota; Metazoa; Platyhelminthes; Tricladida; Dugesiidae. The record is from miRBase by way of RNAcentral.